UUUUGAAAAAUAAAAAAAUUUAAAUUUUUUAAAAGAUAAAAUGCUAUUUUGGUCAUUUUAGUUUUUGAGUGCUAUUUUUGUGAUAUAAACUUAGAAAAGUGUUAUUUUGGAGAUUUGCCCUAUAAAAAUAUCGUUUGUUGAUCCAAAUAGAAUAUCCAAAAACAGUUUAUUAUUGGCCCCAAAGUGGGAUCCGAUUACAUAUUAGCCGAUAAGAGGAACCAUUUUGAAAGUACAUUUUGAAAUCCCAUAUCAAAAAUUUAAAUAAGACCAAAUUGGCAUAUAAAACAUUUGGGUUUGUCCAUUUACUAUUAGUUGCAAGUUGUAAACUCAUGAUAGUCCCGAAUGUAACAUGAGAUUAGAGUAAAAUGAUGUUGGACUACUAUGUGGUUUGUUGUUCCCACGAUUGCCCACACUUUAAACUCUGGAAUGUAGCAUUAUGACGUUUGGCUCUAUUGGAUGAUCGUAGCUGUUAGUCGUAAGUGAGCAGAAGCCACGAUUAGUAUAAUUCCAUCUCAGGUCUUCUUCUAAAUUGUCUAAAAUUAAGAUGCCAGAAAUAAAUAUUGGACUUAAAAUUGUAGGGCUUUAACCCAAAGGGAGCCCUUCCAGAAAUUCUCGAGAGCCCAAGACAAGCUUAGGCCCAGGAGGGGGUUUGGAAAUAGUUUUCAACCAGCAAUAGACGCGCCUCGGUUAGUACCUCAUUAGCUGCGUCAUUGCCCCAAGCGCAAAGAUGAGUUUUAACAAGAGCAAGCCUCUCGUAUUUAUAGUCAUACAGAACCUAUCACCUUGCAUGCUGCUUCCGAUGUGGGAGGUACUAACUUAAUUGAUUUAACCAUAACUAGGCCUGAUUGUUAAAAGGCCAAUAUGCCUGAUAAGCCCAACUAAUAGAUAAGUUAGGUAAAUGAGUUGCCACGCUGGAGAAGAAUCCAUCCAUGGAAAAGGAGUUUGAAAACCAGACGUCGUCUCUUUCCUCUUCGAUCCAAACGCCACGUCAGCAACACACUCUCUCUUCCCCACGGCUAUAGCUAAUAAGCAUAUGGAGGCCUGAGGAAUGAAAGACUCUGCCUUGACUUCUUGUUUGUUCCUCAGGCUGGAAGUAAGUAGAGUCUCCAUGCCUUAGGGAGGGAGGGAGGCUUUUGGUAUCUCCUGGUGAAAUUGUUGUUAUACCACAAGGUUUGGUUUCAGAUUCUCCACUGAUCUACCUGACGGGUUAUGUUUCUGAAAUCUAUGGUGCUCAUUUUCAGCUUCCUGAUCUUGGACCUAUAGGUAGCUUAGCUACUCGAGUCUCGAGUCCUUUGGGAUUCAUUCAACCUUGGUAAACAAGUGAGACAAUAUUUAUGUUUGGAUGUGUGAAGGUGCUGCUAAUGGUCUUUCUUGCUGCACCAAGAGAUUUUCUUGCACCAACGGCAUGGUUUGAGGAAAGACUACGGCCUGACUUCACAAUUGUUCAGCACAAGUUUGGCGGCGAACUCUUUUACUGCUAAACAAGAGUUCUCUCCCUUCAAUGUGGUCGCCUGGCACGGCAAUUACGUGCCUUAUAAGGUGAAUACAGUGUCUUGGAAAAUUAAUGCACGAUAAUCAUUUUCCACCUGCAGAAGUUCUGCCCAUACAACACUGUCCUUGUAGACCAUGGGGAUCCAUCAAUAAAUACAGGUCAGAGCACCAAAUCUAUUGCAUAGCUGUUGAUCCUCUUUGAGGGUUGUACUCUCAGUUCUUACAGCACCAACGGAUAAACCCGGUGUGGCUUUACUUGAUUUUUGUCAUAUUCCUUCCUCGAUGGUUGGUUGCUGAGCACACUUUCCGACCUCCUUAUUAUCUGCAUGAGUGAAUUUAUGGGCUUAAUCUAUGGUGGGUGCAUACGAGGUACAAUGCUUUUGGAGAUCAUUUGUUGCCUUCUCUUCUUACUCUUCCAAUCUUUCACACGCUAAAGCUGAUGGAUUUCUCCCUGGUGGCGCAAGUCUUCACAGCUGUAUGACACCUCAUGGUCCAGAUACAACCACAUACGAGGUGACGAUUGAUUGCUCAUGUAAAUGCAAUGGCUCCUACUAAACUCACAGGUACAAUGGAUUUCAUGUUAUUGAUCCCCAGAGUCUGCCAUUGGGCUCUGGAGACUCCUUUCCUUGAACGAGACUAAUGUUGAACAAACAGAGAAAAGGAGAGGAGCGUCAGAGUAAAUAAAAACAUAAACUCACGUGUAUUGCCAAUACCCACUCUGUACAGACCGCUACUAUAUGUUAAGCAUACAACAAGUAUGUAUAUAUGCAAUAAGUAGGUGAUGUUUCAUAUCACAUCUGUUACAUCCUUUGUACUUUUGAAAUCACUGAUGAUUGACCUUGCCAUUUAGAGA
Molecule: long non-coding RNA, 2344 nt
Organism: Brassica rapa (field mustard)
Lineage: Eukaryota; Viridiplantae; Streptophyta; Magnoliopsida; Brassicales; Brassicaceae
Source: RefSeq, a predicted model, not a curated record